RNAcentral lists this unclassified non-coding RNA (470 nucleotides) under Hevea brasiliensis (rubber tree). Lineage: Eukaryota; Viridiplantae; Streptophyta; Magnoliopsida; Malpighiales; Euphorbiaceae. The record is from RNAcentral.
CUUCUUCUCCUCCUCCUCUUUUCUUUCUUAUCCUCCUUCGGAAUCCUAUUUUAGCGAUCAAAGCCAUGUAACAUAAUGUUCCCCAAGUAAAGCAUUUUGGGAUGCACAUACCAGAUUGCAGUACCCUAAGUGGUUAGUGAAUUGCAUAACUACUAUGUUUUUGAAAUGGGUAACAAAGACAUGGUAGGGAUGCAAGAAAGCAUGCUCUUUAUGAAUAAGCUUGCCACUGGGAGAAAGAUUGGAGAUUGUCAGCUCUCACAACCUUUUGUGUGGACCACUCUACCAUAUUUAUCCUAAACAAAUUGAAGGACGUACCCAUUGCAUUAAAACACAAGAGACACAGAUGCUAGGUUCAGAAACUCACACCAUAGUGUUCAACAAACAUAUCAACCUCAAACAUACUACUAACCAGCAACCAGAUCAUCAACAGCUAAUAAAUGUAGCAUGGCAAAACUCUUGAUAACAACAAG